Molecule: ribosomal RNA, 422 nt
Filed under: uncultured bacterium
Lineage: Bacteria
Description: partial 16S ribosomal RNA
Rfam family: Bacterial small subunit ribosomal RNA
Source: RNAcentral
GAUUUUGGACAAUGGGGGAGACCCUGAUCCAGCCAUCCCGCGUGUUGGAUGAAGGACUUCGGGUUGUAAAGUACUUCUGUCAGAGAAGAAAAGGUAUCUCUUAACACGAGAUACUGCUGACGGUAUCUGCAGAAUAAGCACCGGCUAACUACGUGCCAGCAGCCGCGGUAACACGUAGGGUGCAAGCGUUAAUCGUAUUGACUGGGCGUAAAGCGUGUGUAGGCGGUUCGGAAAGAAAGAUGUGAGAUCCCAGGGCUCAACCUUGGAACUGCAUUUUUAACUGCCGAGCUAGAGUAUGUCAGAGGGGGGUAGAAUUCCACGUGUAGCAGUGAAAUGCGUAGAUAUGUGGAGGAAUACCGAUGGCGAAGGCAGCCCCCUGGGAUAAUACUGACGCUCAGACACGAAAGCGUGGGGAGCAAACA